GUAGGGAAUCUUCCACAAUGGACGAAAGUCUGAUGGAGCAACGCCGCGUGAGUGAAGAAGGGUUUCGGCUCGUAAAACUCUGUUGUUAAAGAAGAACAUAUCUGAGAGUAACUGUUCAGGUAUUGACGGUAUUUAACCAGAAAGCCACGGCUAACUACGUGCCAGCAGCCGCGGUAAUACGUAGGUGGCAAGCGUUGUCCGGAUUUAUUGGGCGUAAAGCGAGCGCAGGCGGUUUUUUAAGUCUGAUGUGAAAGCCUUCGGCUCAACCGAAGAAGUGCAUCGGAAACUGGGAAACUUGAGUGCAGAAGAGGACAGUGGAACUCCAUGUGUAGCGGUGAAAUGCGUAGAUAUAUGGAAGAACACCAGUGGCGAAGGCGGCUGUCUGGUCUGUAACUGACGCUGAGGCUCGAAAGUAUGGGUAGCAAACAGGAUUAGAAACCCGGGUAGUCC
This 450-nucleotide ribosomal RNA is filed under the name uncultured bacterium. RNAcentral's name for it is "bacterial SSU rRNA". It matches the Rfam family "Bacterial small subunit ribosomal RNA", at positions 354 to 796 of the family's 1533-position model. The record is from RNAcentral.